Molecule: transfer RNA, 71 nt
Filed under: Cordylochernes scorpioides
Lineage: Eukaryota; Metazoa; Arthropoda; Arachnida; Pseudoscorpiones; Chernetidae
Description: tRNA-Gly
Source: RNAcentral
UCCAUCGGCCGGGAAUCGAACCCGGGCCGCCCGAGUGGCAGGCGAGUAUUCUACCACUGAACCACCGAUGC